Molecule: ribosomal RNA, 484 nt
Filed under: uncultured bacterium
Lineage: Bacteria
Description: bacterial SSU rRNA
Rfam family: Bacterial small subunit ribosomal RNA
Source: RNAcentral
AUUGAACGCUGGCGGCAGGCCUAACACAUGCAAGUCGAGCGGAUGAAGGGAGCUUGCUCCUGGAUACAGCGGCGGACGGGUGAGUAAUGCCUAGGAAUCUGCCUGGUAGUGGGGGAUAACGUCCGGAAACGGGCGCUAAUACCGCAUACGUCCUGAGGGAGAAAGUGGGGGAUCUUCGGACCUCACGCUAUCAGAUGAGCCUAGGUCGGAUUAGCUAGUUGGUGGGGUAAAGGCCUACCAAGGCGACGAUCCGUAACUGGUCUGAGAGGAUGAUCAGUCACACUGGAACUGAGACACGGUCCAGACUCCUACGGGAGGCAGCAGUGGGGAAUAUUGGACAAUGGGCGAAAGCCUGAUCCAGCCAUGCCGCGUGUGUGAAGAAGGUCUUCGGAUUGUAAACCGCUUUUGUCAGGGAAGAAAUCCUUUGGGCUAAUAACUCGGAGGGAUGACGGUACCUGAAGAAUAAGCACCGGCUAACUACGUG